Molecule: small RNA, 35 nt
Filed under: Bombyx mori (domestic silkworm)
Lineage: Eukaryota; Metazoa; Arthropoda; Insecta; Lepidoptera; Bombycidae
Description: ovarian small RNA-17621
Source: RNAcentral
GUACAGAGGGUUGCCAACCCGCGAGGGGGAGCUAA